GAGACACCCCUAUGUAGCAGGACUUGCUUCAGUGGGGCUUUGGUGCUCACUGAGUCUGCCCCUAAAGUGUGUUGCU
Molecule: non-coding RNA, 76 nt
Organism: Myotis davidii
Lineage: Eukaryota; Metazoa; Chordata; Mammalia; Chiroptera; Vespertilionidae
Source: Rfam